GACGAACGCUGGCGGCGUGCUUAACACAUGCAAGUCGAACGAUGAACCCGGAGCUUGCUCCGGCGGAUUAGUGGCGAACGGGUGAGUAACACGUGAGUAACCUGCCCUUGACGCUGGGAUAACUGCUAGAAAUGGUAGCUAAUACCGGAUACGACCCUCGGUGGCAUCACCAGGGGGUGGAAAGAAUUUCGGUCAAGGAUGGACUCGCGGCCUAACAGCUAGUUGGUGAGGUAACGGCUCACCAAGGCGACGACGGGUAGCCGGCCUGAGAGGGUGACCGGCCACACUGGGACUGAGACACGGCCCAGACUCCUACGGGAGGCAGCAGUGGGGAAUAUUGCACAAUGGGCGCAAGCCUGAUGCAGCGACGCCGCGUGAGGGAUGACGGCCUUCGGGUUGUAAACCUCUUUCAGCACCGACGAAGCGCAAGUGACGGUAGGUGCAGAAGAAGGACCGGCCAACUACGUGCCAGCCGCCGCCGUAA
RNAcentral lists this ribosomal RNA (484 nucleotides) under uncultured bacterium. RNAcentral describes it as "partial 16S ribosomal RNA". It matches the Rfam family "Bacterial small subunit ribosomal RNA", at positions 28 to 523 of the family's 1533-position model. The record is from RNAcentral.